AGAACGAACGCUGGCGGCAGGCUUAACACAUGCAAGUCGAACGCGUGUAGCAAUACACGAGUGGCGCACGGGUGAGUAACGCGUGGAUAUCUGCCUUUUGGUUCGGAAUAACCCCGGGAAACUGGGGCUAAUACCGGAUAGUUCCUACGGGAUAAAGAUUUAUCGCCAAAAGAUGAGUCCGCGUACGAUUAGCUAGUUGGUGAGGUAAUGGCUCACCAAGGCGACGAUCGUUAGCUGGUCUGAGAGGACGAUCAGCCACACUGGGACUGAGACACGGCCCAGACUCCUACGGGAGGCAGCAGUGGGGAAUAUUGGACAAUGGGGGCAACCCUGAUCCAGCCAUGCCGCGUGAGUGAUGAAGGCCUUCGGGUUGUAAAGCUCUUUUGGCGGGUACGAUGAUGACGGUACCGCAGAAUAAGCCCGGCUAACUUCGUGCCAGCAGCCGC
RNAcentral lists this ribosomal RNA (446 nucleotides) under uncultured bacterium. RNAcentral's name for it is "SSU rRNA". It matches the Rfam family "Bacterial small subunit ribosomal RNA", at positions 26 to 518 of the family's 1533-position model. The record is from RNAcentral.